GAGAGGUUUUGGCUCUUAGUACCAUUUUGAAUUGAAACAGAACGAUGAGAAGGUUCAGAACAAAGGGCGAUUACGAAGAUCUCAGAAAUGCUCGAAUUUUGGAGAAUAAGGCUCGAUUGGCGUCUCUCGGAGUACACAAAACCAUCUUGGACCUCCGAUCGGUGGCAAAACCCGCGAAGAAUCAUGUCAGAAAGGACCCUAAAGUCGACUAUGAACGCACUCUUUCGCGCCGUUCCAAUCGGUUGAAGCAAAUAAGCGUCGAUUUAGAACCUGAGCAGACCCCAUUGCAGCGCUCCACUCGGUUGAGAACAGAUUUUGACUAUUUGGUGAUAUCUACAGCAAAAGAAAAAGAGUAGAGUUCGUUAACUUGGUCUGGUGACGGGGAAGAAAAGAGGCCUGCAAAUGCACCUUUGGUGGGAGUCAGCGGUGCGAAGCCGCUGCAACUUUUGCCCGAAGAAUCGGCAAAGCAUUGCCCAAGCACGGGUUGGAAAAUUCGGCUAAGAUUCGGAAUUAUCUGCCACUCGUGCAGGCAAACGAAAUUGUGUGGCGAAGAAGAUUGCAAGCGAUGCAGCAAUCUAGAUACAGAUCAACCAUGCAUGGGUGAGUGUUAGAACAGAAAUUCUCUCCUAUAUCUUCAAUUAUUUGAAUACUUUAACAUCUUCAAAUGAUUCUUAAGCAGGCAAGACAGAUUGUUCAGUAUGUCAUUCUAGAAAUGGCGUGCUUUGCCGAGCUUGUCUCAAGAUUAGGUAUGGUGAAGGUAUGUCUAAGUAUAGGACCCAAUAAAUGGAUGAUUUUCAGUCAAUGGAUAAUAAGAUACGUAAACUACCUAUUAAGUGUCUCAAUCAUUAUUCUUCGAGCUAUGUUCAGAUUAUUAUCCAUAUUUUUUGUUUUUGGUUCAUCACAUUUGGGCCAUGAUCCCUGCACGGUUACUUUUUAUAUGCAAAUUGAAACUGUAAAAGAAUUUAAAAACAUUUUUUUACGUAAUUCUCUGCUAGAACUUGAGGAGGUCAGAGGAAAUGCGCAAUGGACGUGUCCUCAUUGCGUAGAAGAAAAAGGACUGAAUCCAUAUUGGAUAUGUAAUAGUACAAUUUGCCUAAGGAAGCGGAAGAUGGCUUCGGUAACUAUACAUAAAGCUCGGGAGAUGGGAUUCAAAUCAGUGGCACAUCUACUAAUGGAUGAGCUUCAACGAGCAGAGAAACGCUGAUGUUGAGGAAGAUAUCAUGCUAACACCAAGAUGUAUUAGGAUAGCAACAUGAUGAGCACAGCUAAAUGUAAUGACUUCUAGCCCUGUUUAGAGUUACUGCAGUGAUCUAUAUGUACAAAUUAUGAAAUUUAAACUAAUGAAGAACUGAUUUUGGCAUUCCCUAGACCUGACUCCGAUGAGCUGAACUUGUCUACGAGAUUUUAUAACAAGUUCUUAGAUUACAGGCACAAAUUUGUACUUACCUAUACCUCUCCAUACCUGUUAUGACUUGGAAAUUGAUAGCUUAUAGUUCCUCCAAGAUAAUUCAGUGUCCAACUGAAAUUAAUUACAUGCACUCAUAUACUGGUAUCAAGAUUUUAUAUUUUUGACUUGACUGCAAUGUUCCCAGACUUCUGAAGGGUAAUGAACUGUGUUGUAAUGCAUGCUUAGCAUCUGAAAGAGAAAG
Long non-coding RNA from Cornus florida, 1649 nucleotides. RefSeq lists it as uncharacterized. The transcript is spliced from 6 exons. The record is from RefSeq and is a predicted model, not a curated record. Lineage: Eukaryota; Viridiplantae; Streptophyta; Magnoliopsida; Cornales; Cornaceae.